Molecule: long non-coding RNA, 1736 nt
Organism: Glycine soja
Lineage: Eukaryota; Viridiplantae; Streptophyta; Magnoliopsida; Fabales; Fabaceae
Exons: 5
Source: RefSeq, a predicted model, not a curated record
GGUCAUUAAAACAGCAGAUGACGAUUUUUAGAAAAACUGUCUCAUAAGUUAUUCAAAACCAUUUUUGAAGGAAGUAAAUUUUGUUUUGUUUUUUUUUUUUUCUUUUUAUUACUUGCGCCUUAGCCCUCUCUCACUCCGCCUCCAUCGAUCUCUUUACGCCCUCUGACUCCGUCUGUACGUGUCACUCCGCCUCUGUCAGCGCCGCCACCGUCGUAGUGUCUCCUGCACCGUCGCUCUCUCACCAUUGAAGUCAUUGUUGUCGUCGUGGGGGUUGUGAGGGAAUAUUGGUGUUGCUCCAUCUGGUGCGCGUCUCAUUCAAUUUAAUUUGUUUUUCCCUUUUUAUUCUCCUAUAGCUUGAAGGGGUUGUUUUGGUGCAUCCCUUUUUCUGGGGAGAGGAAUCGUUUGGGUGUGAAGCAAACCGACCUGAACAAGCGAAGAAGAUGCACGAUUUGUGGCGGUUUGUGUCCCGAUUGUUAACCCAAGUAAGGAUCCGAAGCUAGGGAAGGUAGCUUGUGAAAGAUUGCUUCUUUGCGUUGCGGAGAAGGAUUUGGUGAGGGACAGGGGUUUGUUCUAUAAGGAGUUGCUUGAGAAGAAUGGGUGUUCUGGUGUUGCGGAGUGGUGGAGACGAAGGAUGAGGACCAUGUUUUCCAUUUGCUUCUAUGCUUUAUUUUUGUUUGAGAAGAAUGGGUGUUGCUUCUAUGGUUCGAACACCCAUUCUUAAAACGAAGGGAGAAGAGCUGAAGAAGGCAAAUGGUGCUGCUGUGUACAUACAAUGCAGCUCAAAGACUCUGCAGGGUGAGGCAUCAUUUGAUAGAUAUGGACUGACUAUUGGGCUUCCAGCAGCUACAGUUGUUUUAUUGAAAAAUCAGCUUCUAUAGCGAUUCUCUCAUGGAAUAGGUAGAAACUUCCAGACGAUCACACGUUAUUAUUCUUUGACACCUUCAAAAUACUCAUGGACAUACAUGAGGACUGACUUAGAGGGUUUAACUAGAUUCGAAAACCAUGUGAAGCUGGGAAGAUGAAGAUACUUGUGUAUGAAACGUUUCCCAUAGCACAAGUAAAAGAAGCUCAUGAGGCAAAAUUCAAGAAGCUCUUCUGUCUGAACCAUCAAAUUAGAAUAAAAAAAAAAGACCUUUCGGAUUGUGCAAGCCCUUGAGCCAAGGUGUUACAAGGAGCUACAAAAUGAGAAUUUCAUUUCAACCAAAAUAGUCAUGUGCAUUUACAAGAAAUUUCUGUUUUCUUGUAAAGAACAAAUGUGAGUUCAUAUUUAUCUUAUCUUUUAUGCUUGUGUACAUAUAUUUCUGUUAGAAUAUCUUAGAUAUUUUUAGUAGUUUAUCAUGUAUAUAUGGCAAAAUCAAUUAGGAGCAAUCUUAUGACCAAUAUAGGAUGGGAUGUGUGUAUAAUUAGGAUUGAAUCAUUGUAUUGGAUACUAAUACUUUUUCUUUAACAAAUUGUUCUUAGAAUUCCUAGGUGUGUCCAUUGAGAAAAUUUUCACCCAUGAUGCCUGAAACAAUCCUCUGGUCUAAACUAACUCUGGAAUUGGAUAUACAUCUAUCCUCCCAUAGCAUUUUAUUUGUCUGAGCAAUUCUAGAUUAUUUUGGGGAAAUAGUUUAUAUCUCUCUGGUCUGAUCAUUAAUUGCCAAGAUCUUCCUAGGUCUCAACCAUUUUUCUGUCUGCAUAGUGCCAAAAACAGCUACAAUAAGCAUCAAUGUAUUUUGCCUUUAGUCCUCUCUAAA